UUUGGAUGUAAAGUGUUAAAAACUAGAGUAGUAUUAGUGUAAGGUCUUGAAACUUAAAGAAUUUGGCGGUAUUUUAGUCCAUUUAGAGGAAUCUGUUCCGUGAUCGAUAAUCCGCGCUGGACCUUACUUAAAUUGACUUAGUAUGUAUACCGCUGUUGUUGAAAAUCUUUGUAGAGUUGUAAUUUUUAUAAUUUUUAUUUAAUAGUGUUUCAGGUCAAGGUGCAGCUUAUAUUUAAGUGGUAAUGGAUUACAAUAUUUGUAUAUAAACGAAUUAUUGAUUGAUAGAAUUAAUAUGAAGGUGGAUUUAAUAGUAAUAUUAUUUAGAAUAUUAAUAUGAUUAAUGGCUCUAUAGUAUGU
Molecule: ribosomal RNA, 357 nt
Filed under: Ectobiidae sp. 8 FL-2016
Lineage: Eukaryota; Metazoa; Arthropoda; Insecta; Blattodea; Ectobiidae
Description: 12S ribosomal RNA
Source: RNAcentral